This 934-nucleotide ribosomal RNA is filed under the name uncultured crenarchaeote. RNAcentral describes it as "bacterial SSU rRNA". It matches the Rfam family "Archaeal small subunit ribosomal RNA", at positions 1 to 922 of the family's 1478-position model. Lineage: Archaea; Thermoproteati; Thermoproteota. The record is from RNAcentral.
UUCCGGUUGAUCCCGCCGGACCCGACUGCUAUUUGGGUGAGGAUAAACCAUGCGAGUUGUAUGGGAUACCUAAAUUUCCCAUAGCAAACUGCUUAGUAACACAUGAUCAACUUACCCUAUGGAGAAAUAUAACCUCGGGAAACUGAGGAUAAUGCUUCAUAGUUGAAUAGGCUUGGAAAAGUUUUUCAAUGAAAGGGAUAAGAAAAAUGGUUCUUAUCUGCCAUAGGAUAGGGUCGUGCUCGAUUAUGGUUGUUGGUGAGGUAACGGCUCACCAAGCCGAUAAUCGAUAGGGGCCGUGAGAGCGGGGGCCCCAAGAUGGGUACUGAGACAGCGACCCAGGCCUUACGAGGCGCAGCAGGUACGAAACCUCCGCAAUACACGAAAGUGUGACGGGGUUACCCAAAGUGUUCUUAUAGAACUGUGGCAGGUGAGUAAUGUCCCCUGCUAGAAAGGAGAGGGCAAGGCUGGUGCCAGCCGCCGCGGUAAAACCAGCUCUUCAAGUGGUCGGGAUAAUUAUUGGGCUUAAAGUGUCCGUAGCCGGUUUAGUAAGUUCCUGGUAAAAUCAGGUAGCUUAACUAUCUGCAUGCUAGGAAUACUGCUAUACUAGAGGGCGGGAGAGGUCUGAGGUACUACAGGGGUAGGGGUGAAAUCUUAUAAUCCUUGUAGGACCACCAGUGGCGAAGGCGUCAGACUGGAACGCGCCUGACGGUGAGGGACGAAAGCCAGGGGAGCGAACCGGAUUAGAUACCCGGGUAGUCCUGGCCGUAAACGAUGCAUACUAGGUGAUGAUACGGCCAUGAGCCGUGUCAGUGCCGUAGGGAAGCCGUUAAGUGUGCCGCCUGGGAAGUACGGUCGCAAGGCUAAAACUUAAAGGAAUUGGCGGGGGAGCACCACAAGGGGUGAAGCCUGCGGUUCAAUUGGAUUCAACGCCGGA